RNAcentral lists this ribosomal RNA (253 nucleotides) under uncultured bacterium. RNAcentral's name for it is "partial 16S ribosomal RNA". It matches the Rfam family "Bacterial small subunit ribosomal RNA", at positions 524 to 776 of the family's 1533-position model. The record is from RNAcentral.
UACGUAGGUGGCAAGCGUUGUCCGGAUUUACUGGGCGUAAAGCGUGCGCAGGCGGUUCGUUAAGUCAGCUGUGAAAGCCCCGGGCUUAACCUGGGAAUGGCGGUUGAAACUGGCGAACUUGAAUCUGGCAGAGGGGGGUGGAAUUCCACGUGUAGCAGUGAAAUGCGUAGAGAUGUGGAGGAACACCGAUGGCGAAGGCAGCCCCCUGGGCUGAGAUUGACGCUCAGGCACGAAAGCGUGGGGAGCAAACAGG